RNAcentral lists this ribosomal RNA (433 nucleotides) under uncultured bacterium. RNAcentral's name for it is "partial 16S ribosomal RNA". It matches the Rfam family "Bacterial small subunit ribosomal RNA", at positions 29 to 507 of the family's 1533-position model. The record is from RNAcentral.
AACGAACGCUGGCGGCAUGCCUAACACAUGCAAGUCGAAUGAGACCUUCGGGUCUAGUGGCGCACGGGUGCGUAACGCGUGGGAACCUGCCCUUAGGUUCGGAAUAACUCCCCGAAAGGGGUGCUAAUACCGGAUAAUGUCUUCGGACCAAAGAUUUAUCGCCUUUGGAUGGGCCCGCGUUGGAUUAGCUAGUUGGUAGGGUAAAAGCCUACCAAGGCGACGAUCCAUAGCUGGUCUGAGAGGAUGAUCAGCCACACUGGGACUGAGACACGGCCCAGACUCCUACGGGAAGCAGCAGUGGGGAAUAUUGGACAAUGGGCGAAAGCCUGAUCCAGCAAUGCCGCGUGAGUGAUGAAGGCCUUAGGGUUGUAAAGCUCUUUUACCCGGGAUGAUAAUGACAGUACCGGGAGAAUAAGCUCCGGCUAACUCCGUG